Molecule: long non-coding RNA, 1893 nt
Organism: Phyllostomus discolor (pale spear-nosed bat)
Lineage: Eukaryota; Metazoa; Chordata; Mammalia; Chiroptera; Phyllostomidae
Exons: 3
Source: RefSeq, a predicted model, not a curated record
AUCUGAAAAAUACAAAAGUGCAUUCUAUUUUGUGAUUGGUGCUUUAGUAACUUAUCAGCUGUGAUUAAAUUCUUACAUAAUUUUCAUUUAGAAAGAUUGUAUCAGUUGUUAAGGAUACAGAAACUCUUGAAUUUGAUGGGAGAGGAGAAUCUUGAUAAACAGUUAUCUUGCUUUUCUGCUUUCUAUCAUCAAUCAAUCCCCCUGUACCUCACUGAUUGGUAACAGUUGCAGUUCACCAGGAGCCUUAGUAGAAAAGUAAUGGCAAGAAUAUUUGGGUUAAAUUAUUGCUUGCAUAGUUUAUAAUCCAUAUGCAGUCUAGCCUGAAGGCUGUAAACACAGGCACAAGUUUGAGACUCAGCUGGACCUGGCUUCAGGACUGGCCCUGCUCUUACCAGCUAAUUAAUCUGGACAGUUGUUUAAUAUCUCUGAGCUUCAACUUCCUCAUGAAAAAUGAAGGCAAUAAUUAUAUGGUAUUAUCUCAAGGGUCAUUUGUGAAAAUUAAAUGAGAUAAUUCAUCUAAGAUUGUCGCAGUGCUGGCACAUAGUAACCAUAUGGUGUUAGUUACAAUUAUGUUUUUUUAUUAAUGUGGCUAUUAUUAUAUUUAUCAAAUAGUUUGCCUGAACCAUUACAAUAUGUGUACAUUAAUGUUUGGUGCUCGACUUCCUGAUUCAUAGUUAAGGUAAAAUUUUGUUCACAUUGCUUAGAAGUUAUGUACUCCACUGAUGGACUUCUCUGUCAAUUCAAGCUUCGUUUACACUAGCAUGACAUUGUUCCAGGAAUCACUUCCAUAUUCUUUAUCCCCAUAGUGGAUGGUAGUUGAAUGAAGGGAAUUGAGAGGCAUCUGAAGGGGGUUAUGGUUUUUGUAAUAUGUGGAAAGAGCACAGGGUUUGAUAGAAAAGCUUGCUUAUUUGUUUAUUUACCUAUUUUAAUCCUCACUUAAGGAUAUAUUUAUUGAUUUUGGAGAGAGAGAAACAUCGAUCUGUUGCCUUCUGUAGCACCCUGACUAGGAAUUGAACCUGCAACCUUUUGGUGUAUAGGAUGAUGCUCUAACCAACUGAUCCACCUAGCCAGGGCAGGAAAGAGCUUAUUGAUGAGAGUCAGAUGCUAGAGGAAAAAUUUUAUAUCAGGAACAUAAUGAUAUCCUCUUAAAAAUGAUUCUGUUGUAGCUUUUUUUUUACAUUUUAAAUUUGUCAGCAUAACAGGAGGGCACUUUACAUGAAACAUAAACUGUCUCUCUUCUAUAUACUUUUUUCCUUAGUAGUAAGCUCAUGGUUUUAAAUUUGUGGUACUCUUAAUUACACUAGGAAUGGGCUGAUUAUAGAGAGUGUAAUUAUAGCUUUGAAGUAUUGUUAUACAGAAGCUAAAAUAGAAUGGAAUCCCUGAAGAAUUGAACUGAAAUACUUGUCAUGGAUGAAAGUUAUAAAUAUUUGUUUUCUGGUCAAGCAUGAAAAGUUCAUAAUAUUUUAAUACAUCUUUUCUCUUAGGAAUGAGUUAAUUAUUCAAUGCAUUGGAUAAUUAUUGGAUAAUUAUCCUUGCCAUUGCCAGAGAACUUUCUUUUUAAAAGUUGUUUAAGGAUCUGAGAGGACAUUUUAAAAGGGAACUAAUAUGGGUGAGGCUUUUUGGAAAUAAGAGAGUAUUUUUGAGAUCCUAAUCUGCUCUUCUGUAAUUACACUACACAAGAGGAACAUGUUUAAAAUAACUGUAUAAUGUAAGAAUUCCAUACUUUUUGUGGGGAGCAUCCACUUUUAGUUUUCCGUGUUUUGAGAACCUGACAGGAGGCUGGGCCAAGGGCUGUGGUCCCAGAAAUUUUGAGAAGCUGGGCUAGAUCCUUGGGUGGGGUUAAUGAUGAUCUCAUCCACAGUCUUGGCAAGACUUGCCCUUGGUUUCUCAGCC